AAUAUUUGACUCUUAGUUUUAUUUGAAAUUUUUUUAUUAUUAAUAUUUUCAUUGUUACUAGAUUAUAAAACGUGAAUAGUACUUUACACGUGACUGUUUUUAAGUUUUUCUACAAAUUUUUUAAAUAAGACAAAUGGUCAAACAUU
This 146-nucleotide microRNA precursor is filed under the name Oryza brachyantha (malo sina). Its description in RNAcentral is "MIR812 microRNA precursor family". It matches the Rfam family "MIR812 microRNA precursor family", at positions 30 to 176 of the family's 205-position model. Lineage: Eukaryota; Viridiplantae; Streptophyta; Magnoliopsida; Poales; Poaceae. The record is from Rfam by way of RNAcentral.